This 468-nucleotide ribosomal RNA is filed under the name uncultured bacterium. Its description in RNAcentral is "partial 16S ribosomal RNA". It matches the Rfam family "Bacterial small subunit ribosomal RNA", at positions 28 to 507 of the family's 1533-position model. The record is from RNAcentral.
GACGAACGCUGGCGGCGUGCUUAACACAUGCAAGUCGAACGGAAAGGCCCUGCUUUUGUGGGGUGCUCGAGUGGCGAACGGGUGAGUAACACGUGAGUAACCUGCCCUUGACUUUGGGAUAACUUCAGGAAACUGGGGCUAAUACCGGAUAGGAGCUCCUGCUGCAUGGUGGGGGUUGGAAAGUUUCGGCGGUUGGGGAUGGACUCGCGGCUUAUCAGCUUGUUGGUGGGGUAGUGGCUUACCAAGGCUUUGACGGGUAGCCGGCCUGAGAGGGUGACCGGCCACAUUGGGACUGAGAUACGGCCCAGACUCCUACGGGAGGCAGCAGUGGGGAAUAUUGCACAGUGGGCGGAAGCCUGAUGCAGAAACGCCGCGUGCGGGAUGACGGCCUUCGGGUUGUAAACCGCUUUCGACUGUGACGAAGCGUGAGUGACGGUAAUGGGUAAAGAAGCACCGGCUAACUACGUG